GGUACCUUAUGGGGCAUGGAGUCUAUUUCCUGUUCAAUCGUAAACUGAAGACUAAAUCACAAAGCAGAGAUUUUUUUUUUCCAUCUGUUGAAGUGAAAUCAAAGGGAAUUUUUGAAAGGCAAGCUCUCAUUGCUGUUCACUGGGAAUCAAGCCCUUGUUACACUUAAUGGAUGUUCCAUGCCAAGUUCCCCAACCCCUGGGGGUGAAAAUUUCCCCUAAAAAGACCUGGAAGGAAUUCAAGGCUGCUAAAGGCUUGAAUAAAACUUUACUUAAUGUGUAUUGUACAUUUUUAUUACCCCUAGAUGAUAUGUUAUAAUUACGUUCUUAAAUCAUGUGAGAAAAACUUAAACACAUUAUUAACAAAUGAUAUUAUUCCCAAACCAAACCAGUUUGGUACCAGUCUCUCUAGAGAAGAGGAUAGUACAUGGUAAGCAGGCAAACAAAACAGUAAACAUGUCAGGAGCAGGGGAAAAUGUUAGGCACCUUGGCUUUAUCAAAGACCAUAAGACUUAGAAGAAACAAAUUUGCUUCUGCUUGAGCUGUAUGGUAAGAGGAUGGAAAUCUUUUUGAACUGUGCAAGAAAUUAUAACACAAGAUCUUUUAGCCAAAACAGAAAUACAUGUUUCCCAGAAUGAAGUAGAGAUAAAUAUUUUGGGAAGAAUGCUUAUUUUAGCUUAGAAAAUAAGUUGAACCUUUAACAUAGUUGAACUGGGCAGAAUCACAUUCUGAUGGUAUUUGGAAAUAAAAGAGAGGCAUGUUCAUUUGUAUCCUUGCUUCACCUUGUCUGAGUUCAACCAAACUUUUGUAUUAGAAGUCUCCUUAGAGGAACUGCCUUAGGAACUCUUACAUUCAGACACACAUUAUGAAGUCUUAAGCAAAGCAACUUUUGAAAAUUGGAGAAUUGGAAGUAAAGCUAAAAUAGCUGGAAUUGCAUUGCCGCUGUGUGAAUGGCCCAGAACCUCUUUUGGACGGGAGAUUACUGUCUUCUUUCUUGGCAUCCUCCUGGCUGGUGGGACCCAGGGCGCACAAGCAGGCAGAGGCAGGUUCUCUCCAAGAGCCUCCACAGCGAGUUCUGGAAGGGGUUGGCACCCACCUGGAGGUGAGGAACCGUAGGUGGAGGCUGGCUCCUCCAUUGCUUGGUUGAAGAUCAAAACAGAUUUCGUCUUGGCAAAUGGCUUUUCGAAAUCAAAACCUCACAGCACUUAAAAAUGAUCCUUCAGCAAUGUACAAAGGGAGAUGGACUGGAAGACAUUUUGCAGGAACUUGCAAUGUUACGUGUCCAUGGAAAGAAACUGACAUGGUUGAUAAUGCUAUUUGGUUACCCAGGAAUCUUGAGUGGAGGGGAUAUUUGUAGGAACGUGCAGGAGCAGAUAAAGGGCUUCUGCAUUUCUGUCCUUGUUAAAGCUACACGGACUCUAUCUGCACAAAUCUAAUUAUAUGUCUAUAUUAGAAAUAUGAAUGAAAUACACCAGUCAUUUCUACUUGCAUUAAGUAUUCUGUUUCUCCCAGACUUGCAAAAUCCUAUGUAAUCAAAGAGAUACAGGACCCAUGAACAAUGACUAUUGAAUGGGGAUGACAUAGCCCACGAGAGAAAGUAUAUUUUUUAUUAUAAGUAUAAAAAGCACGUUUUCUAUUGUAAGGAUAGUUUUUAUUGAAAAUGUAUUUUUUAUUGUUAGCAUUGCAAGUUUCCCACUAGUUUACAGUAUAAAAAGAGGUUGAUAUUGCAAUAUUGCAAUCCCUUAGAAAAACAUACUGAGAAAAUCAUGUUCAUAAGUAUUUCUGCACUAUUUUAGGAAAUAAUAGAAAAUAUUUCCUUUUCCUAAUCUUUCCUUUAUUCCUUGAAACUUGUGAUCAAUUCAUGUUGGUCAGAACUGGCCUCUAAGGUCAUCAAAAGAGAUAAUAUCUGAUGCGUAUCUAUGCAGUAAAGUCAGUACUUUAAUCUCUCAGAAAUAGGCAAUAAAAUAUGCCAUUAUCAUAAACUCUCAUCUAAACUGUCAAUAAUUCAGAGGCUUGAGCAAUCAUCUGGACAGCCUAGAAAGUCAAUUUGGACAAUUCUACAACCACAUUUUGUACUGAAUUUAUUAGAUAACUCUGCUUUGCCAAUGUAGACAUGAUCUAAGUUUAUCUAAAAGUUCUCUAGGGAGAACUAAAUACCUAAAGACAGCCCCAAACUGUGACCAUUAGGAACUUGCAUAAAUUCACUGAAAACAAAUUAUACUGAUCUCAUUUUUAGAUGACAUUGCUAGAAUGGCUUAUCAGGGGAAUGCCAUGACUUUCUUGAACUUCAGUUUUAGCAAAAUUUUGGUCAGUGUUUUUCAAAGUCAUGAGGCAAUGGAAUAUAGAGAAGUAGAGAUAAAUGAACAGGAUUCUGGUUUGAGCUCUUUCUCAGAGGAGGUAUGUAGCUUGAAAAAGUAAUGUCAUCAGUUCUUAGACAAAGUGAUAAAUCACGCACACGUAGAAACCCUUUUCCUGUUCCAAAUGCAUGCACAAUAAAGUUUUAUGAAAAAAUAUUACUUGGAAUAAAUAUAAAUAUAUACAGUGAUAUUUAAAAUAAAUAAAUUGGUUUGAAAGCAAGAAAGGAAAUUUCCAGGAGUCAGAAAUGGAAAGGAGAUGUUUCAGUAAAUAGGAGCUCAAGUUUUGUGGCCUGUGGUGGGGCCGAGACAGUGAGGCUAAAGCUUUUGGAACUGCAGCCAUUGGUUCAAAAUGAGAUAGGAUGUUGAAAUCCAUUCAUAAACCUGACUAGUAUCCAUGAGGUUGAGGGUUCAAUCCCUGGGCUCACUCAGUGGGUUAACGAUCCAGUGUUGCCAUGAGCUGUGGUGUAGGUAGCAGAUGUGGCUCAGAUCUGGACAUGAUGUGGAAAUGUAAUGGGCGCAUGGUGGACAUGUGAUAGACACAUGGUGGACAUGAGGUGACACCAAUAGACACGAGUUGGACACAUGAUGGACACAUGACGGGCAUAUAGUGGGAUGUGUAGUGUACACGCGGUAGGCACAAGGUGUACAUGUGCUGGACACGAGGUGGACACAUGAUGGACACGUGCUGUGGCUGUGGUGUAGGCCGGCAACUGUAGCUCCAAUUAGACCCCUAGCCUGGUAACCUCCAUAUGCUGCAGGUGCGGCCCUAAAAGCAAACAAACAAACAAACAAAAACAGCUGAAACCAAAUUGUAUGGAGUUUUAUUCUGAGAGUUGUCAUCUAAUAAAGUUAAUAUUAUCUUUAAAGAUACACCGAGAUUUGUACUACUACUCACUUUUUUCAAAAAUAAAGAUAUAUUUUGAGUCUAUAAAAGUAGAUAGUAAAUUUUUAAAGAAAAUCAAGGGAAUAGCCAGCACACCAUGCAGGCAGGUGGUACUUUGGACACUGGGAGUUCGCCAAGGUGGAAAAGCAGAGAUUUCUAAGGCAUCGGCAGUGUUCCAGUUCUCAGUCUGGAUGGUGCAUGCAUAGGUUUGUUUUACAGUCUUCUUUAAACUCUACACAUAAAUGUUAUAUACCUUUCCGUAUUGUGCUACAUUUUUUUUUUUUUACAGCUUUACCUGUGGCAUAUGGAAGUUCCCAGGGUAGGAAUCAAAUCAGAGCUGCAGCUGAGACCUACGCCACAGCCUUAGCAACGCUGGGAUUUGAGCCUCAUCUGCAACCUAUGACCUGUGCCACAGCUUGCAGCAGUGUUGGAUCCUUAACCCACUGAGCAAGGCCAGCGAUCGAAUCCACAUCCUCAUGGACACUAUGUCGGGUUCUUAACCCGCUGAGCCACAGUGGGACCUCCUAUGCUACAUUUCUCAAUUAAAAUUUUAAAACAUGGAAUUCGAGUAAGAUUGUCAAAACACCAAACUCCCUAAGCAAAGCAAGCUGGGAAUAUUUCCACAAUCCCGAAUAACUGGACAGUUUCCAAGAAUGGUAGGUGACACAAAAUCAGGUUACCCCCCCCCCAUGCUCAGAUUUCAUUCUUACAUCUUGACUCAUGCCACCUUCCUUUUGUAAAUUAUUAUCCAAUUUCUUUUUUAGUGACCAGCUGUAUUGAUGAUGCACUAAUAUGCGAUAUGGGAAAUUCCAAUUUGGUGACUAGAAUCUAGAGUAUAAUGGAGCUCCCAUCAUGGACUCAGUGGUAACGAACCCGACUAGUAUCCGUGGGGAUUUGGGUUUGAUCCCUGGCCUCAGUCAGUGGGUUAAAGGUCCACUGUUGCCGUGACCUGUGGUGUAGGUCACAGACUCAGCUCAGAUCCCUUGUUUCUGUGGUCAUGGCGUAGGCCGGCAGCUACAGCUCCAAUUUGACCCCCAGCCUGGAAACUUCCAUAUGAUGCAGGUGCAGCCCUAAAAAGACAAAAAAAAGUAUAAGUAGCAUCUCUUCCUUUUGAUUUGAUAGCAUGGAAUAUGGAGGAAAAUUAAAUUUUGGAGAAUAAAGAAAUUAAUAUUUAUGGCUUCUGUAUUGAAAUCAGCCUAUAGUCACAGAUAGGAUUAAGUAAUUACAGGUCGUAAGGAUAGGUGCAAAGAUGUUUUAAAUCUGUCAUAAUUCAAGAACCCUUAUAUUAUAAUUGAAUAUUUGGUAUGAUGAUUAUUUUUAUAUGUAGGUAAUGAAUAUUCCAUACAAGUUUAAUUAGCAAAAAUGCAAUGGAUAAGAAGAUAAAGGAAACAGACUUUGGCAGACUAUAACCAUGUCUUAUAAAUGUAUAUUUAAGAUACCCUCAAGAGUACUAAUUAAGUUAAGCAUAAUCAAAGAACAUUGUUAUAGCAAUAUAUUAAUAUAAUAAUAAUUUCUUUUAAAUUAUUUUAAACAUUAUAUCCAGGUAUCUUAAUGCAUUUUUUCUGUUACCAAUUAGCUCUGUAAUAAAGCAAGUACCUCCCUUUGUUUCUAUUAUGAUCUUGCUAAACUGAGUCAAAGAGGAGAAAAUUGUCUGUUUCACAAAGUAGAGCAGAGGUUAAAAAAUGAACAACUAACAUGACUAUACUAGACCAGUGACCUGAAGGCUAUACCUGGAGAGCUUUGAUGAGUCUCCAAAGUACCAAAGGUGAUAGAGCUUCAAAGACAGAAAGCAGUGUUGAGGCACUGAUGUUGAACAUCACUCAGUGCGAAUCUAAUUAGGUACCUAAUGAUUCUCUCUUGCAGAGUCCCAUAACUAGUACUUCCCGAUUCACAGCUAUGCAAAACUGCAGCUCAUUACAUGCCACACUUACUUUUCAGAAAUUCAAAAUGUAUAAUUUCAAAUGCCAAGAAUUUACUGCAUUUUUCUGGGAUGCAAACUUUGAGCUUCAUAUUGUUUCCAAACUAGUCCAGUUGUCCUCUUGCUUGUGGAUGCUCCUCAGAAGUGCUGAUUGUGUCAAAGUUCAUUACCAAUCUUUAUGGAGAGUUUACUGUGGUCAGGAAUUCUGCUAAGAACUUCACGCAUGUUACCUUGGUUUUAAUCUGCAAAAUAACUUGAUGGUUGAGGUAUUGCUGUUCCUGUUUCCAGAAGGUUACAAUUCUUAGUAACUAAUCCACCUGGUGGAGGGAUAGAUCAGGUGAGGGAUAGAUCAGGAAAACAUUGACUCAAGGGGGAAAAAGACACGUUUGCAUUCCAAAAGCCCUUUUCAUCAUUUGAAAUACUAAGUGCUGGAAGACUCAGGUCAUAAAGUCUAUAUCAUAAACCACAAUGUGAAGCGACUACAGAAUGAAACAAAAGUAACUUUCCUACACAGAAAGAACCUAAAAUUAUCUGGCCUAUGGCAAAGAGAUGAGAGAAAUCUCCAAUUGGAGAAAAGAGAGUUAAAGGCUAAAUAGCACAAUGUCUCUUCUGCUGUCUACUUUGCGAACUUCCUAGAUCCAGUGGGUCUAGGUUAACUUUAGGAAAAAUAGCAUUAGUUUCGUUUGGCCAAAGCCAUGAGCUUAUUAUGGAGCUAUCCAAGGUGCUCAUCUUGGACCGUAGCUGUCAGCUUACCAAGCUUAAUCUACCUAAUUUUCUGGUCCUACAUGUUAUAUUGUGGGGGGGGAAGUCUUUUUAUUUUUGGAGCAUGGGACUGGAGGAAGAAUCACAGUGUUUUAUUUCACAUUUAAUUGAAUUAUUAGAGGUCCUACUUUCAUAAGAAUAUAACAUCCCUGCUUUCAGAGGCAGUCAGUGGAAACCUAAAUAGGACCACAAGGAGACAUUUAAACAAAUACUAGUCAGUGUUGGAGUGUGGUUUAUACAAACUGAAUUUUUAAAAGCUUCAAGAGUUGUAUUUCAACCAAAAUGUUGUUCUGUAGUUUUAUAUUUUUAAGGCCUGGUAUUGCCCAAAGUAGUGAAACUAAGAAUGUUCUGCUAUUUUUCUUUUGAUUUUUUUUUUUUUUUACAACCUGCGGUAAAUGAAACAUACACACACAUAACUAGAACAAAAAAUUAACCAUGAGAUGUUUUCUGUUCUGCUUACCUUUGCUGAAAAGAAAAAGUUCUGAUUAUAUCCACUAAACUGAUUUCAUGUCCCACUAAUGGGUCUUGACCCACAAUACAGGAAAAAAAAA
Molecule: long non-coding RNA, 6468 nt
Filed under: Sus scrofa (pig)
Lineage: Eukaryota; Metazoa; Chordata; Mammalia; Artiodactyla; Suidae
Description: lncRNA (ENSSSCG00025040476.1)
Source: RNAcentral